ACUAAGCGUACACGGUGGAUGCCCUGGCAGUCAGAGGCGAUGAAGGACGUGCUAAUCUGCGAAAAGCGUCGGUAAGGUGAUAUGAACCGUUAUAACCGGCGAUGUCCGAAUGGGGAAACCCAGUGUGAUUCGUCACACUAUCGUUAACUGAAUACAUAGGUUAACGAGGCGAACCGGGGGAACUGAAACAUCUAAGUACCCCGAGGAAAAGAAAUCAACCGAGAUUCCCCCAGUAGCGGCGAGCGAACGGGGAGCAGCCCAGAGUCUGAAUCAGCUUGUGUGUUAGUGGAACGGUCUGGAAAGUCCGACGGUACAGGGUGAUAGUCCCGUACACCAAAAUGCACAGGUUGUGAACUCGAAGAGUAGGGCGGGACACGUGGUAUCCUGUCUGAAUAUGGGGGGACCAUCCUCCAAGGCUAAAUACUCCUGACUGACCGAUAGUGAACCAGUACCGUGAGGGAAAGGCGAAAAGAACCCCGGCGAGGGGAGUGAAAAAGAACCUGAAACCGUGUACGUACAAGCAGUGGGAGCACCUUCGGGUGUGACUGCGUACCUUUUGUAUAAUGGGUCAGCGACUUAUAUUCUGUAGCAAGGUUAACCGUAUAGGGGAGCCGCAGGGAAACCGAGUCUUAACUGGGCGUUAAGUUGCAGGGUAUAGACCCGAAACCCGGUGAUCUAGCCAUGGGCAGGUUGAAGGUUGGGUAACACUAACUGGAGGACCGAACCGACUAAUGUUGAAAAAUUAGCGGAUGACUUGUGGCUGGGGUGAAAGGCCAAUCAAACCGGGAGAUAGCUGGUUCUCCCCGAAAGCUAUUUAGGUAGCGCCUCGUGAACUCAUCUUCGGGGGUAGAGCACUGUUUCGGCUAGGGGGUCAUCCCGACUUACCAACCCGAUGCAAACUACGAAUACCGAAGAAUGUUAUCACGGGAGACACACGGCGGGUGCUAACGUCCGUCGUGAAGAGGGAAACAACCCAGACCGCCAGCUAAGGUCCCAAAGUCAUGGUUAAGUGGGAAACGAUGUGGGAAGGCACAGACAGCCAGGAUGUUGGCUUAGAAGCAGCCAUCAUUUAAAGAAAGCGUAAUAGCUCACUGGUCGAGUCGGCCUGCGCGGAAGAUGUAACGGGGCUAAACCAUGCACCGAAGCUGCGGCAGCGACACUAUGUGUUGUUGGGUAGGGGAGCGUUCUGUAAGCCUGCGAAGGUGUGCUGUGAGGCAUGCUGGAGGUAUCAGAAGUGCGAAUGCUGACAUAAGUAACGAUAAAGCGGGUGAAAAGCCCGCUCGCCGGAAGACCAAGGGUUCCUGUCCAACGUUAAUCGGGGCAGGGUGAGUCGACCCCUAAGGCGAGGCCGAAAGGCGUAGUCGAUGGGAAACAGGUUAAUAUUCCUGUACUUGGUGUUACUGCGAAGGGGGGACGGAGAAGGCUAUGUUAGCCGGGCGACGGUUGUCCCGGUUUAAGCAUGUAGGCUGAUUGUCCAGGCAAAUCCGGAUAAUCAAGGCUGAGGUGUGAUGACGAGGCACUACGGUGCUGAAGUAACAAAUGCCCUGCUUCCAGGAAAAGCCUCUAAGCAUCAGGUAACAUCAAAUCGUACCCCAAACCGACACAGGUGGUCAGGUAGAGAAUACCAAGGCGCUUGAGAGAACUCGGGUGAAGGAACUAGGCAAAAUGGUGCCGUAACUUCGGGAGAAGGCACGCUGGUGUGUAGGUGAAGUCCCUGCGGAUGGAGCUGAGACCAGUCGAAGAUACCAGCUGGCUGCAACUGUUUAUUAAAAACACAGCACUGUGCAAACACGAAAGUGGACGUAUACGGUGUGACGCCUGCCCGGUGCCGGAAGGUUAAUUGAUGGGGUUAUCCGUAAGGAGAAGCUCUUGAUCGAAGCCCCGGUAAACGGCGGCCGUAACUAUAACGGUCCUAAGGUAGCGAAAUUCCUUGUCGGGUAAGUUCCGACCUGCACGAAUGGCGUAAUGAUGGCUAGGCUGUCUCCACCCGAGACUCAGUGAAAUUGAACUCGCUGUGAAGAUGCAGUGUACCCGCGGCAAGACGGAAAGACCCCGUGAACCUUUACUAUAGCUUGACACUGAACAUUGAGCCUUGAUGUGUAGGAUAGGUGGGAGGCUUUGAAGCGUGGACGCCAGUCUGCGUGGAGCCAACCUUGAAAUACCACCCUUUAAUGUUUGAUGUUCUAACGUUGGCCCCUUACCGGGGUUGCGGACAGUGUCUGGUGGGUAGUUUGACUGGGGCGGUCUCCUCCCAAAGCGUAACGGAGGAGCACGAAGGUUAGCUAAUCCUGGUCGGACAUCAGGAGGUUAGUGCAAUGGCAUAAGCUAGCUUGACUGCGAGCGUGACGGCGCGAGCAGGUGCGAAAGCAGGUCAUAGUGAUCCGGUGGUUCUGAAUGGAAGGGCCAUCGCUCAACGGAUAAAAGGUACUCCGGGGAUAACAGGCUGAUACCGCCCAAGAGUUCAUAUCGACGGCGGUGUUUGGCACCUCGAUGUCGGCUCAUCACAUCCUGGGGCUGAAGUAGGUCCCAAGGGUAUGGCUGUUCGCCAUUUAAAGUGGUACGCGAGCUGGGUUUAGAACGUCGUGAGACAGUUCGGUCCCUAUCUGCCGUGGGCGCUGGAGAAUUGAGGGGGGCUGCUCCUAGUACGAGAGGACCGGAGUGGACGCAUCACUGGUGUUCGGGUUGUCAUGCCAAUGGCACUGCCCGGUAGCUAAAUGCGGAAGAGAUAAGUGCUGAAAGCAUCUAAGCACGAAACUUGCCCCGAGAUGAGUUCUCCCUGAGACUUUAAGUCUCCUGAAGGAACGUUGAAGACGACGACGUUGAUAGGCCGGGUGUGUAAGCGCAGCGAUGCGUUGAGCUAACCGGUACUAAUGAACCGUGAGGCUUAACC
This 2890-nucleotide ribosomal RNA is filed under the name Klebsiella pneumoniae. Its description in RNAcentral is "bacterial LSU rRNA". It matches the Rfam family "Bacterial large subunit ribosomal RNA". The record is from RNAcentral. Lineage: Bacteria; Pseudomonadati; Pseudomonadota; Gammaproteobacteria; Enterobacterales; Enterobacteriaceae.